RNAcentral lists this ribosomal RNA (507 nucleotides) under Psychrobacter sp. RNAcentral's name for it is "bacterial SSU rRNA". It matches the Rfam family "Bacterial small subunit ribosomal RNA", at positions 143 to 647 of the family's 1533-position model. Lineage: Bacteria; Pseudomonadati; Pseudomonadota; Gammaproteobacteria; Moraxellales; Moraxellaceae. The record is from RNAcentral.
AUAGCACGGGGAAACUCGUAUUAAUACCGCAUACGACCUACGGGAGAAAGGGGGCAGUUUACUGCUCUCGCUAUUAGAUGAGCCUAAGUCGGAUUAGCUAGAUGGUGGGGUAAAGGCCUACCAUGGCGACGAUCUGUAGCUGGUCUGAGAGGAUGAUCAGCCACACCGGGACUGAGACACGGCCCGGACUCCUACGGGAGGCAGCAGUGGGGAAUAUUGGACAAUGGGGGAAACCCUGAUCCAGCCAUGCCGCGUGUGUGAAGAAGGCCUUUUGGUUGUAAAGCACUUUAAGCAGUGAAGAAGACUCCGUGGUUAAUACCCACGGACGAUGACAUUAGCUGCAGAAUAAGCACCGGCUAACUCUGUGCCAGCAGCCGCGGUAAUACAGAGGGUGCAAGCGUUAAUCGGAAUUACUGGGCGUAAAGGGAGCGUAGGUGGCUCUAUAAGUCAGAUGUGAAAUCCCCGGGCUCAACCUGGGAACUGCAUCUGAAACUGUAGAGCUAGAGU